AUCUCAGUGGCGUAAUGGUUAACGCACGAGCACCGGUUAGGCGCGAGAUGCGGGUUCGAAUCCCGCCUCAGAUG
RNAcentral lists this transfer RNA (74 nucleotides) under Nippostrongylus brasiliensis. It matches the Rfam family "tRNA". Rfam says of the family: Transfer RNA (tRNA) molecules are approximately 80 nucleotides in length. Their secondary structure includes four short double-helical elements and three loops (D, anti-codon, and T loops). Lineage: Eukaryota; Metazoa; Nematoda; Chromadorea; Rhabditida; Heligmosomidae. The record is from Rfam by way of RNAcentral.